This is a non-coding RNA of Pelobates cultripes (western spadefoot toad), 353 nucleotides long. Lineage: Eukaryota; Metazoa; Chordata; Amphibia; Anura; Pelobatidae. The record is from the annotation of a GenBank genome assembly.
UAUAUAUAUAUAUAUAUAUAUAUAUAUAUAUAUAUAUAUAUAUAUAUAUAUAUAUAUAUAUAUAUAUACAUACACACAUUUUAAGAGGUAGCCCCCAAAUAAAAAAAAAAAAAAAACGACAACACUUUGGGGACUCUAGAGAACCUCGGGCCAAUCACACAUCCCUGUGGCGGCGACUUUGCAUUCGGCUGUCAUCCAUAUCAACUUUCGAUGCCAGUUUCUGCGCCUACUAUGGUGAUCACGGGUAACGGGGAAUCAGGGUUCCAUUCCAUACAGGGACCCUGAGAAAUGGCUACCACAUGUCAGGAAGGCAGCAGGUGCGCAAAUGACCCACUAACGAUGUGGGAAGGUAG